RNAcentral lists this ribosomal RNA (2901 nucleotides) under Candidatus Gottesmanbacteria bacterium RIFCSPLOWO2_12_FULL_42_10. Its description in RNAcentral is "bacterial LSU rRNA". It matches the Rfam family "Bacterial large subunit ribosomal RNA". Lineage: Bacteria; Candidatus Gottesmaniibacteriota. The record is from RNAcentral.
AGUCUACUCAUAAAGUCGACAACGGAUGCCUUGGCGGUUUUGGCCUAGGAAGGACGUUUGUAUACCAACGAUAUCGUCGGUUAGGCGGUUAGCAGCCUGCGAUCCGGCGGUUUCCGAAUGGGGUAACCCUCCCCCGAUAAUAUCGGGGGAAGGCAAUAGUGAAAGUUCUGUCCAAAAGACAGAAAAAUAGCUGUUGUCAGGGCACCGGGCGAACUGAAACAUCUAAGUAGCCCGAGGAAAAGAAAUCAAUUACGAGAUUCCGUCAGUAGCGGCGAGCGAAAGCGGAAGAGUCUAAACCCCGCCUUUGGCGGGGGGUUGCAGGGCUUCCAAUAUGGGAUGAAAGGAAGGUAACAGAACUGCCUGGAAUGGCAGACCACAGAGAGUGAAAGUCUCGUACGUAAAACCCGAAUUUCCCCUAGGGAGUACCUAAGUACCACGAAGCACGGCAAAACUUCGUGGGAAUCUGGGUGGUCCACCAUCCAAGACUAAACACCAAAACCGACCGAUAGUGAACUAGUACCGUGAGGGAAAGGUUAAAAGUACGCAGGUAAUGCGAGUGAAAUAGUACCUGAAAUUGUCGACUAACAAACAGCGAGAGUCCCGAUUUAUCGUGGAUGAUCGCGUGCCUAUUGAAGAAUGAACCGAUGAGUUGCCGUCCUUUCUUUUGUCUAAGCGAGUAUCUCGCGGAGGCACAGUGAAAGCGAGCCCUAAACGGGCGAAUUAUAGAGAGAGUACGGCAGACCCGAAACCGGGUGAGCUAAGCAUGGACAGGGUGAAUCCCGACGAAAGUCGGGAAGAGGCCCGAACCCGUUGUUGUUGCAAAAACAUGGGAUGAUCUGUGCUUAGGGGUAAUAUGCCAAUCGAACCCGGAGAUAGCUGGUUCUCCUCGAAAUAUAUUUAGGUAUAGCAUUCCGAUUUUGCCCAGGGGUAGAGCACUAGAUGGGAUAUCAAGCUUUUAGCGAGAUAUCUCAAUUAAACUCCGAAUACUGGUAGCAUUUUGUCGGAAUAGUCAGUCCGGCUCGGCUAAGCGAGUCAGGUCAAGCGGGGAAACAACCCAAACUCCCAAUUAAGGCCCCUAAAUUUUAGCUAAGUUGUAAAGGAAGUGAGAUUUCCCAGACACCCAGGAGGUUGGCUUAGAAGCAGCCAUCCUUCAAAGAGUGCGUAACAGCUCACUGGAUGAGAAAUCUCGCGCCGAAAAUGAACGGGGAUAAGCUAAGUGCCGAAAUUGGAGUCCCGACUUUGUCGGGAGGUAGAGGAGCGUUCCUGUUGCAGUGAAGCUCAUUCCGUAAGGGAGGGUGGAGCGGCAGGAAGUGAGAAUGUCGGUAUGAGUAGCGAGAGUCCGAUGAAAAUUCGGACCGCCGUAAGCCCAAGGUUUCCGUCCCAACGUUCAUCGGGGACGGGUUAAUCGGAUCUAAGGCGAGUCCCUCCGAUUCGGAGGGGGUAGCUCGAUGUACAAGCCGUAGAAAUUCGGCUAUAGCUUUGAGAAGUUUCCUAGGGGAUGACGAGAUUGGAGCAGCGGAGUCUCGUACACACGGGAUUUAAAUCAUAAGAUAGUGAUAAUUGGGAAAUCCAUUAUUGCGUUUAAUCAAGUGAUGACGGAGAGUUCAAUGCGCAAGCUGCGGACAAUUCCGCACGUUUCAGUGUCCAAGAAAAAUCUCACAGGGUCCCGAUUUAUCGGGACAAAUCUCAAGGUUUCCGUACCGCAAACCGACACAGGUGGGCUGGUAGAGUAUACUAAGGCGAACGGGAGAAAACGGUUCAAGGAACUCGGCAAAACAGCUGGGCGUAACCUAUGGGAGAUGCCCUGCCCCGAUUUAUCGGGGCCGCAGCAAAUGACGCUAACCGACUGUUUAACUAAAACACAGGUCUCUGCAAAGCCGAAAGGCAACGUAUAGGGGCUGACGCCUGCCCAGUGCACGAAGGUUAAGAUUCUUGGGUGACUCUCCAAAAGAGAUAAGCUUAGGACUCAAGCCCGUGUGAACGGCAGCAGUAACUAUAACUGUUCUAUGGUAGCGAAAUUCCUUGUCGGGUAAGUUCCGACCCGCACGAAAGGCAGAACGAGUUAGCGACUGUCUUGAGCCGUUACCCGGCGAAAUUGAAAUGGCUGUGAAGAUGCGGCCUACUUGCACCUGGACAAAAAGACCCCGUGGAGCUUUACUGUAGCUUGGCAUUGGGAAGACGUUUGAAACUGUCGAGUAUAGGAGGGACCCCGCCGCAAGGCGGGGAACAGUGGAAUACCUCUCUUUUUAAUCGUUAACCCUAAUCUCUUGGCCGCUCAAACAACCGGCAGGGAGACAGUGUCUGGUGGGCAGUUUCGCUGGGGAGGUGGCCUCCAAAAGUGUAACGGAGGCGUACAAAGGUCGGCUUAUCCCGGAUGGAAAUCGGGAUGUAAGUGCAAACGCAAAAGCCGGCUUGACUGAGAGACUUACAAGUCGAACAGGCGCGAAAGCGGGUGUUAGUGAUCCUCGGAUCCGCCGUGGUUGCGGACCGAGCUUAACGGAUAAAAGCUACCCCGGGGAUAACAGGCUGAUCGGGCCCGAGAGUCCAUAUCGACGGCCCGGUUUGGCACCUCGAUGUCGGCUCAUCCUAUCCUGGAGGUGGAGAAGCUUCCAAGGGUCCGGCUGUUCGCCGGUUAAAAGGGUACGCGAGCUGGGUUCAGAACGUCGUAAGACAGUAGACCAAUAAUGGUACGACAUCAUUAUUAAUUAGAGCUGUCUUUCCUUCAACGUUUUGGACAAUAAGAGGAAAUGAAGGAGAUCGCCCGUCCAGGGCGAAAUAAAUCUGGCUAAAUGCUGGAAAAUCCGAAGAAUCGUGUGAUACUUGAGAAGUAAUUAAAAUAGAGAUAACAUAUCUCUAUGAUCUCAAGUGAUAACUCAUCACGUGCGGACAAUCAGCAGGUAA